UACGUAGGGUCCGAGCGUUGUCCGGAAUUAUUGGGCGUAAAGAGCUCGUAGGCGGUUUGUCGCGUCUGCUGUGAAAUCCCGAGGCUCAACCUCGGGUCUGCAGUGGGUACGGGCAGACUGGAGUGCGGUAGGGGAGAAUGGAAUUCCUGGUGUAGCGGUGGAAUGCGCAGAUAUCAGGAGGAACACCGGUGGCGAAGGCGGGUCUCUGGGCCGUAACUGACGCUGAGGAGCGAAAGCAUGGGUAGCGAACAGG
Molecule: ribosomal RNA, 253 nt
Filed under: uncultured bacterium
Lineage: Bacteria
Description: partial 16S ribosomal RNA
Rfam family: Bacterial small subunit ribosomal RNA
Source: RNAcentral